RNAcentral lists this transfer RNA (83 nucleotides) under Planctomycetaceae bacterium. RNAcentral's name for it is "tRNA-Ser". It matches the Rfam family "tRNA". From Rfam's summary of the family: Transfer RNA (tRNA) molecules are approximately 80 nucleotides in length. Lineage: Bacteria; Pseudomonadati; Planctomycetota; Planctomycetia; Planctomycetales; Planctomycetaceae. The record is from RNAcentral.
GGAGGGUAUCCGAAUUGGUUAGGAGUCUGAUUCGAAAUCAGAUGCCCCGUAUGGGGUUGAGGGUUCGAGUCCCUUGCCCUCCG